RNAcentral lists this small RNA (40 nucleotides) under Arabidopsis thaliana (thale cress). RNAcentral's name for it is "ATSL125840". The record is from RNAcentral. Lineage: Eukaryota; Viridiplantae; Streptophyta; Magnoliopsida; Brassicales; Brassicaceae.
UGGGAAGUGAUGAUAAGAUAUAUCAAUAUGUCAUAGGCAC